This 253-nucleotide ribosomal RNA is filed under the name uncultured bacterium. RNAcentral's name for it is "partial 16S ribosomal RNA". It matches the Rfam family "Bacterial small subunit ribosomal RNA", at positions 524 to 776 of the family's 1533-position model. The record is from RNAcentral.
UACGUAGGGUGCAGGCGUUAAUCGGAAUUACUGGGCGUAAAGGGUGUGUAGGUGGUUUGGCAAGUCGGUUGUGAAAUCCCCGGGCUUAACCUGGGAAUUGCUUCCGAUACUGCCAGACUAGAGUACGGUAGAGGGCGGUGGAAUUUCCGGUGUAGCGGUGAAAUGCGUAGAUAUCGGAAGGAACACCAAUGGCGAAGGCAGCCGCCUGGGCCUGUACUGACACUGAGACACGAAAGCGUGGGGAUCAAACAGG